UAAUGUAAAUUAUAUUCAAUAAUUUAUUGAAAACAAUAUUGCAUUUGACAAGAGUAGCAAUGCAUAUAUUACUCUAUUUAAAUUACUGGAUAUAACUUACAUUAAUUCAUAGCAUGUAUUUUUCAAUAACUCAAGAGUUCAUUUUGUUUCACAAACACUGUCCUUCUCAGUGCAGUCUAACAGAAGCGAUUGCAGUUCAUUUGUAGCUUGGCAUCAAUGCUACUGCAGUUCAUAGUUAGGCUACUAAAGUCCGGCAUAUACACACAGAUCAUCCACUCGUCCCGCAGUCAGUGAUAGUGACGCACACUCGUUGCUUUCCAACCCACACUGCACAUAUGAAGCCGGGGGCGACCGCGCGCCCAAGCCGCCUGCGUGCAAGUUCUCCGGCAGCUUGCGCCGACAGGCAGCGUUUCACAGUUCAUGUUCCCACAACUUGUUCCUCCGGUACCCAAAACGCCCACUUUUUCCCCAACGGAGGACACGACAAGCUGGAGGG
This is a long non-coding RNA of Sinocyclocheilus anshuiensis, 496 nucleotides long. RefSeq lists it as uncharacterized. Lineage: Eukaryota; Metazoa; Chordata; Actinopteri; Cypriniformes; Cyprinidae. The record is from RefSeq and is a predicted model, not a curated record. The transcript has 3 exons.